GGGUUGGAGGCAGGAGGGAGGGAGGGAAGGAGGGAAGGAAGGAAGCUGGGAACGAGCGAGCGAGCGGGGGCGCGAGGCGUUUACCUGGAGGCAGCGGCUUGGGCGCGCAGAGCGGCCGCGGCUCCCCCGCACCUGCGGCCAUGGAUGAGGAGCGCGCCCUCUACAUCGUCCGGGCCGGCGAAGCGGGGGCUAUCGAGCGGGUCCUGAGGGAUUACAGCGAUAAGGUAAAGAGCCCUGGCCCUGGGCGUGCGGUAGAGCACCCCCGGGCCGCCCUCGGGGCUUGCACAUCGCAUCCCUCCCAGCCCCCUUCAUUCCGGGGAUGCGCGUUGCUCUCCCCCCGAAAACGUUUCCGGCUUGGGCAUGCGUGUUUGUGCCCCCAGCCUUUCGCGUCCGUGCAUCCUGCAUCCCCCUGCCCCCACUCUGGCGCCCACUCCUCUGAUUCCGGCCCAGCAGCCUGUCCUGCGGUCCUCCUCCCAAGCGUGCAAGUCACACCCCCGGAAUCCGUAGAUGUGCGUCUGUGCCCUGUGCCCCACUCGGGGAUGCAUACAUGCACGCGAGGCUUCCUCACCUGUAGAGCAUGAAAAUCCGUGUUUCCGUGCUUAAACACGGCCCUUGACGUGCAUAAGACCUAUCAGCCACGAUGGCAGUUCUUUGUAUACCUACAGCACUAUACAAUUUCCAAGGCUUGAUGUCUCAUGUAUGGUCUAACUUGAUUCUCAGAGUGUUUAUAGGGUAGAUGGUGUCUUCCUCCCCAUUUUAUAGAUGAGAAAACCGAGGCGCUAAGAACUGAAAUCACGCCAAGGUCAUGGACAUACUGUGUUGUAAGUGGGGGGGAGAUUCUGACUCCUAAUAAUACCUAUUAUUUGUAUCGCAUUAACAGCUUUCCCUCCAUUAUCUCAUUUAAUCUGGACAGCAGCCCUGCGAGGUUUUAUCUUCGUUUUGCAAUUGAGAUUCUAUAUCAGUUAAGUAACUUGCCCAAGGUCAUACUUGUGAGCUGGGAUUCCAACCUAGGUCUUCAAACCAUUCAUUGUUCUUUCCACUUUACAACUCUCCAGUAAAAAGAUAUCUUGUUAUAAAUCCCAGUCACUUCUCUGAAUGUUUCUCCAAGAACCGUUAGCUCUCCAUCACUUUUCCUUCCAGGGAUUUUACAUGCUUACUUCAAAAGGUAGCAUAUCACAACUUUAUUCUUCCAUUUAGAAGACUACUUAAUAGGAAUGACUGACUGACGACUCACUUCGGUGAAAAUACACUCAACACCAAGUCUCAGCCUAGAUAAAGCAUCUUUCUUCCUUUCACUUGCUUCCACUCAUAGCUUCCCCUUCUGGGUUUGCUAUGUGUUCAGCACUGCACUGUAUUAUACUUUGUAUGAUUGAGCUGCCAGUGUGCCAUUUCUGCCCUGGGGGGGGAGAAGAUCCAAAAAUAAGACAGCUUGAUUUCCAUUUAAUCUUCCCAAUAACCCUGUGAGGAAAGUGGUGGUAUUCCCCAUUUCAUGAACAAUGUUUAGGAUAAUGUUGGCCCAAGUCCACACAUUCAUUGAGAGAUGGGGCUGAGAUUUGAAUCUAGGUUGUCUGACUGCACUAUCUACAGUACUGUGCUGCUUUCUUUGGGAGGAUGUAUGGAUGGAUUCAAUUCUGUCUGUAUCUUAGCUCCUUCACUUUCUAAUAUGCUUUACUGUUGCAUGUCUGCCUAAUUUAGGAACAAUUCUUUUAAUGAAUACGUGUACAUAUUGUGAAGAUUAUAUUCAUUUAAUUUGAUUUAUAACUCCUUUCAAAAAAAAUGUGAGGCAACUACAAACUGAUUUUCAAAAGAAAGAGUGUUGAAUCAAUCAGUAUUUAUUUUUGCAAUUACUAUAUGCCAGAUAUCCAGCAAUAAAUAAGAACUUUCUUCUCUAGUAAAGGGAGGAGUUGAAAAACCUCCAACUGGAUCUUACCACUUUCUUUAAUAUUUCUCCUUCUUUUCAUGGCUAAACUGAUUAGAACUCCAGAGUUGCUCCCUUGAAUUUAUCUCUUCCUCUCCUUGAUCUCCCUCUAGGUUGGUUUCUACUGGCCAAGUGCUGUCAGAGCUUAGUUUCUGGGUAUCUCCAGCUCCCCUUUCACACUGGGAAUGUUUCUAAAGUUGUAAUGCCCAGUGUAUAUCAUUUAAGGUGGUAUUCCUGAAGUACUUUUGGGCUGCGCCUAAGAAUGCUCUGACUUGACAUGAACCAGGUCAGUCUGCUCCUUCAGAAAAGAGCUGUCAUGUUUCAUGCUGAUUAUAGUAGGGCUACCAUACAAAGAAAACAGCUGAGGUUCAUGUUGUCCGUGGGGCUUUGCCCCUCAAGGCAAGAGAGAUCUUGGAGACAGAUGAAUAGGAAGGAGAAGUGUGAUUGCAGUGAUCUGGCAAUAAAGAUGGGGAGGUGGAAUUAAAUUGCCUGGCUCUAUGGGAUAUGGAGUCUGAAACCCUGAAAAAGUAGCUGAAUACUGUGUACUUGAUUUUCCUUAUCUGGAAAAACAGAUUUGAAAAAUGUUUAGAAUAAGAGGUGAUUAUGGGGCAUUGAGACACUAUCUAACCAAGAACAGAAAUGAAUGAUGUACAAAAAAAGUGACUUGUUCAUUAUUUGGAGGACGAAUUUCUUUAUGCUACCUUUAUUUCUCUAGUAAAGCUAGAACUUGGGACAGUUCUAGAAAUACAGCAUACACAUUUGAGUAGAGUAUGUAAAUAUCCUGGACCAUGUAAGAGGGCUUUUUGCUUUCCACUUUGAGAUUGAAUUCUGACUCUUUGAAUUCAUUCCACAGAUUUUUGCAGAGGAGCAUGUUUAAUGGGCUAUUCCCUCUAAAUAGUGGAAAGAAGGUAGAAUUUAAAGUCAGGUAAAUCUUGGUUCAAAUCUGCCUUUUGGGCAGCCCCGGUGGCUCAGCGGUUUGGCGCCGCCUUCAGCCCAGGGUGUGAUCCUGGAGACCCAAGAUCAAGUCCCACAUCAGGCUCCCUGCAUGGAGCCUGCUUCUCUCUCUACCUGUCUCUCUCUCUCUCUCUCUCU
Molecule: long non-coding RNA, 3010 nt
Filed under: Canis lupus familiaris (dog)
Lineage: Eukaryota; Metazoa; Chordata; Mammalia; Carnivora; Canidae
Description: lncRNA (ENSCAFG00000057793.1)
Source: RNAcentral